This is a non-coding RNA of Lupinus albus (white lupine), 654 nucleotides long. NCBI's taxonomy places the organism in Eukaryota, Viridiplantae, Streptophyta, Magnoliopsida, Fabales, Fabaceae. The record is from the annotation of a GenBank genome assembly.
UUUGUGAGGUUGGUAACUGGUCUAGAUGGUUGAAUGACCUAUUUGACAUGGAUGAUAAUGACUCACUUGAAGAUAAACAAUGAUAGAAAAAAAUAAGUCCUUCAAAUUCUUCAAUCUUCUUAAUGCACUAAGUGACCUUCUUAAUGCAUCCUCUUCAUCUAGUUGCUAACUUGCUAAAGAUGUUGAAGAUGGAAAGGAGUAUGUCAACAUUUUCCCCUGCAUUGCAGCUUCUCAGUAUGUCUUAGACCAAAACCUUAAGGCAAUGGUUUCAUAUGUCUUCUCUAUUUACGAACUCUUUCAUUCAUCCUCAUAUCUAAUGUGUGACUUCACACUUGAAUAUACCAAACCAUUUCAAUAACUACAACCUUCACUGCUCAAAUUCCAUUCCUGAGUCAUUUCUUUCCUUGUUAAAGAAGUCAGACUUGGUUAUGAUGCAAUUGGAUACUCUUUUCAAAUACAACAAAUUGUUUUGUUUUCAUAUUCACCUUUUACCACUGUUGUGAUAACCGGACCGGACCGAACGGUCCGACCGGUUCGAUCGCUGACCGGACUUGAAAACGGUUCCGUUUUGUAGUCUUAACCGAAUGAGUAGUUGGACCGCUUUGAACCGGAGAAAUUCUGGUUCGACCAUGCUAAACCCGGUUAAACCGGAAU